Molecule: RNA transcript, 1847 nt
Organism: Vigna unguiculata (cowpea)
Lineage: Eukaryota; Viridiplantae; Streptophyta; Magnoliopsida; Fabales; Fabaceae
Gene name: Ribosomal protein S5 domain 2-like superfamily protein
Source: RefSeq, a predicted model, not a curated record
AGAAAUUAACCCACUUUUCAACCAUUUCAUUAAACGACGACGGUUUGGUCCCUGGUUCUGUAAAACCUAAUCCUUAGCUUAGCAGUCCCUUCCUUUCUCACUCUUCCACUCACUCCGAUCGCCACGUCAACUCUCCGGCGACUCUAUUCUCACGCAAUGCACGAGUGAAUGGUAACACUUUCGCUCUAUAAUUCAAAUUCACAUUCAUUCUCUUCGUCACCAUGCUUUCUCGUUUAAUCCCUAAACCCUCUCAUCUCCGUCGCUUCCUCACUCUUCCGUUGAAACCGCCCCACACACCUGCGAAACCCUACUUCACCACCGUCGUUCUUCCCAGACACCUCUCCACCAACAGCGGUGGCAAGGAUCCAUCCUCGAACCGCCUGUGGAACGAUUUUCGGGAGACCGAGGAAAAGUUCGGCGCUUUAUUCGAGGAGGAGAGUGGAAGCCUUGCUGGAAUAAACGAAGAGGGUGGGAAAAGGGAGGAGCGGGACUGGCUGCAAGAGGAAGAAAAGGGGUGGUUGCAAGAGAAGGGUCUCGAUGAGAAAGAUGAAGAUGCUAUAUUUAAAGGGAUCGAGAAGGAAAGUGGAGAUGCGAGUGGUGGAGGUGGUGGUGGUGCUGGUGGUUGGAAUUUUGGAGUUGGAGCAGGAGAGGGCUUCAAACCUUGGAACUUGAAGGAAGAGGACAAAGAGGAUGUGUUUGAUUUCCCCGAGGAGGAUGUGGAACAUGAAAGGGACAUUCCUGCUUUGGAUGUUAAGCCAGAAGUGGAUGUUGAACAGCUUCAGAAGGAAGAGCAAGCUCUCACUGCUGUUGUCAAAGGUCCAAAACGUGCAUUUGGUGAUUUGAUUGCUGCUUCUGGAAUCACGGAUGAAAUGCUUGACAGUUUGAUUGCGUUGAAAGACUUCGAUGGAGUUGAAGGGUUGCCUCCUCUCAGUGUAAUUGAAGACAUGAGGUAUGAGAGGAAUACUAGAAAAUCCACUAGAGGUGAAAUGGAGCGUUUGAAGCAAGAGGAAGCUGCAAAAGCUAGAGUGAAACAAGUUGAUGACAAAGGUCGUGCUUAUGGAACAGGAAGAAGAAAAUGCAGUGUUGCCCGUGUCUGGGUUCAGCCGGGUAAUGGUAAAUUUAUAGUUAAUGAUAAAGAGUUUGAUGUCUAUUUUCCCAUGCUUGAUCAUCGCGCCACGCUCCUCCGACCUUUCUCUGAGACAAAGACAUUGGGGCUAUGGGAUGUCAAUUGUACUGUGAAAGGAGGCGGUGUUUCAGCCUUGAGCUAAUCCCAGCACGAACAAUUAAGUUUGCAAAUGAAUGCUUGAUCUUUGAUUUAUCACCUGAUAGACACUACACUUCUGUUCAACUCCCCCUGACAAAUCCUACACUGAGAAAACUGUGCACAGUGGAGGGCAAGUUGGAGCUAUACGAUUGGGGAUCAGCAGGGCUUUGCAAAACUGGGAACCAGAUCUGCGGCCUGCACUGAGAAGUGCUGGUUUCCUAACGAGGGACUCACGAGUGGUAGAAAGGAAAAAGCCAGGAAAGGCAAAAGCAAGAAAAAGUUUCCAAUGGGUCAAACGUUGAUACUACUGUACCUCUCUGGAUGGCAUUUUUUUUGUCUGGAAUAUUAGCAUUCCUCAAUAACAUAUUGAAAUUCGUUUGUCUUGUACUGCAUCACCCUUGAUGUAAUCAGCGUUUGGAUUUCAAUGACUCAACUGUAGAAAAUUUUGGUCACGGAUAUGUUAGGAUUCAUUCACUCUUUGGAAAGCGCUUGUGAUUGCUAUUUUUUUUUUUCCCUUUAUACUUCAUUUUGCCCGAUGAAUGUUGUGGUAGUCAUCGUUGGGAGAUUAGUGUUGACUGUGUUA